GCGAAAGCCUGAUCCAGCAAUGCCGCGUGCAGGAUGAAGGCCCUCGGGUUGUAAACUGCUUUUGUACGGAACGAAAAGCCUGGGGCUAAUAUCCCCGGGUCAUGACGGUACCGUAAGAAUAAGCACCGGCUAACUACGUGCCAGCAGCCGCGGUAAUACGUAGGGUGCAAGCGUUAAUCGGAAUUACUGGGCGUAAAGCGUGCGCAGGCGGUUUUGUAAGACAGUGGUGAAAUCCCCGGGCUCAACCUGGGAACUGCCAUUGUGACUGCAAGGCUAGAGUGCGGCAGAGGGGGAUGGAAUUCCGCGUGUAGCAGUGAAAUGCGUAGAUAUGCGGAGGAACACCGAUGGCGAAGGCAAUCCCCUGGGCCUGCACUGACGCUCAUGCACGAAAGCGUGGGGAGCAAACAGGAUUAGAUACCCUGGUAGUCCACGCCCUAAACGAUGUCAACUGGUUGUUGGGUCUUAACUGACUCAGUAACGAAGCUAACGCGUGAAGUUGACCGCCUGGGGAGU
This 513-nucleotide ribosomal RNA is filed under the name uncultured bacterium. RNAcentral describes it as "bacterial SSU rRNA". It matches the Rfam family "Bacterial small subunit ribosomal RNA", at positions 375 to 881 of the family's 1533-position model. The record is from RNAcentral.